CUCUUACAACACUGUGACAUUCCAACAUGCUCCCACAUUGAAAACCAUCAUUGUAAACCUGCAUGCCAUUUGAUGGGGUCCCUCGUCCAAAUUGGCUUGGUUGGCAUUUCCUUACAAGUGCAACCUUCUAUCCAGUUGCCGUAGCAAGAGGUCUCCUUGGUUAGGUGACCUUCUAGGUUUCCGUUAAAGACCUUAGAGCAUAAGCAACUCUCGUAUCUGCAUGUGUAUCAGACAAUGGAUGGGGACUAUUCAGGACCCAGCAUGCCCCAAGUUCAUGAUAGAGGACACCUCACUAAAACCUUACGCCAGCUGUCCCUAUAAAGUGAGGGGGUCCACAUUUUACAGAUGAGGACUUUGAAGUUUUCAGAGGUGGAGUACCUCGCCAAAAGACAUGCACUUGGAGUAGAAGUUGUCAAUAUUCAACCCUGCCUUUGCAUGAAGGUGCAUUCCAUGAUGCCACAAGCUGCCCUUUAUGUAGUAGGUAACUCACCAGGGAAACACAGUCAAAAAGAGAUACAGAUGAUGCAGACCUGGGUACACACAGAUCCAUAUAACAAGAGCGACUGUAAGGAAGAGGUUCAUGUGACCGUGAGGGCUGGCAAGUCCAAACACCACAGCAGCCGGGCAGGCUGGGAGGAGCUGCAGCCCGGCUCUGAGACAGCCAGCCGGCAGGAUUUCUCUCCUGCUCUGGGGAGGUCGAUCUUUCUCUGCUACGACCUUCAAUGGCUUGGAUCAAGCCUGCCCACAUCACAGGGUAUAAUUCACGUCGCUUAGGAUCCACUGAUUUAAAUGUUUCUCUCGUCUAAAAAGUCUUCAUAGAAACAUCUAGAAUAUAUGGGUACUAUGGUCUAGCCAAGUUGAUACAUAAAAUUAAGCAUCAUGGGGAACAAAUGACAUGGCAAAAUAUAUUAGGAAAGUGUUUAAUUCCAUUGAAAUUAUUUUAUUUUUUUCAUUUAAAAAUGUUUCUUAGUGCUUUGAUUACAAAAAUAAUACAUGCUAUAGACCUAAUUUUAUGACAGAUUCAAACACAGAAUUAUGGAAAGUAAAAAGUGAAAAUCUGACCCCUUUACACACAAUCAGUGUGUUAUGUCAGCAAUAUGCAGUAUGCAGACCCUUGUUAACAUGUUCACAGUACUCCCCUGCAUCCAUAAUGUACUCAGUCGCUUCCUUACUGAUGGACGGUCAAGUAGAGCUGCAGAUUAAAUAGUUGUUAGGACAUAGAAUUCUGUACGUGCACUGGUACUUCUGUAGUCCGGUGCCCGAGAUUAGAUUGAUAGAUCCCAGGGUAGGCACGUUCAAAAUUUGAAAGAUACCAUCAAAUACUCCUCCAAAAGGAUUGUAUCAACUUAUAAUCUCGUAACAUUAGAUGUGUGCCCCCUACUGGGUAAUAUUUUUAUGUUCACAUCAGAGAUUAAAACAACAACCAAAUCUCAUUUGCUUCUCUGAAGAAUUCUUCGCGCUUCCCACGCCCCACAUCCCAGUCAAUGUUUUCUGUCCUUACAGUUUGCAUUGUCUGCAGUUUAUGGAAUACAAGUGUCAGUCUCUACUCCUCUGCCCAGCUUCUUUUAGUCAGCGUACUUACUUUGAGAUCCACCCACAUUCUUAAGUGUUCUUAACACAAUAAAUUAAAUUAGGGAAAAAAGAAAAUAUUUGGAUGACAAAUAAGUAUAUAAAAAGAUAUUCAACACUGGGUCACCUGAGCAGAGGCUUUAACCCACUGAGCCACCCAGACGCCCCUACUCCUAAAUAUUUACCCCCCAAAACAUAUAUCCAUACCAAGACUUGCCUCAGAUGUUCAGAGUGGUUUUGCGUGUAACAGCCCCCAACUGAAAACAAUCCAAACGCCUCCCAGCAGGUGAAAUAACAGCGAUCCAGUCCUAUAAUCGAGGAGUGUUCAGUAAUAAAAGGGAUGAGUUAUUGAUACAAAAACCCACACGAAUCUCAAGAUGAAUUGAGUUUUAAUUUGUGGGUAAAAGAAUGAAGGGUCAUCACUAAUUGGUAAAAAUGUGUUGUGGGUGAUCUUUAGGGACUAAAAGCAAUCAGGAAAGACCUAUGCAGCAAAAGGAAGAAAAGAAGCAAAAAAAAAAAA
Long non-coding RNA from Mustela erminea (ermine), 2089 nucleotides. RefSeq lists it as uncharacterized. The transcript is spliced from 2 exons. NCBI's taxonomy places the organism in Eukaryota, Metazoa, Chordata, Mammalia, Carnivora, Mustelidae. The record is from RefSeq and is a predicted model, not a curated record.